ACUUAGUGAUCCGGUGGUUCUGCGUGGAAGGGCCAUCGCUCAACGGAUAAAAGCUACCCUGGGGAUAACAGGCUUAUCUCCCCCAAGAGUCCACAUCGACGGGGAGGUUUGGCACCUCGAUGUCGGCUCAUCACAUCCUGGGGCUGUAGUAGGUCCCAAGGGUUGGGCUGUUCGCCCAUUAAAGUGGUACGCGAGCUGGGUUCAGAACGUCGUGAGACAGUUCGGUCCCUAUCCGUCGCAGGCGUAGGAAAUUUGAGAAGACCUGUCCUUAGUACGAGAGGACCGGGAUGGACGUACCUCUGGUGUACCAGUUGUCCUGCCAAGGGCAUGGCUGGGUAGCUAUGUACGGAAUGGAUAAGCGCUGAAAGCAUCUAAGCGCGAAGCCAACUUCAAGAUAAGAUUUCCCACCGCAAGGGUAAGACCCCAGAAAGACUAUCUGGUUG
RNAcentral lists this ribosomal RNA (443 nucleotides) under Clostridioides difficile. RNAcentral's name for it is "partial 23S ribosomal RNA". It matches the Rfam family "Bacterial large subunit ribosomal RNA", at positions 2410 to 2855 of the family's 2925-position model. Lineage: Bacteria; Bacillati; Bacillota; Clostridia; Peptostreptococcales; Peptostreptococcaceae. The record is from RNAcentral.